This 513-nucleotide ribosomal RNA is filed under the name uncultured bacterium. RNAcentral describes it as "partial 16S ribosomal RNA". It matches the Rfam family "Bacterial small subunit ribosomal RNA", at positions 28 to 507 of the family's 1533-position model. The record is from RNAcentral.
GACGAACGCUGGCGGCGUGCUUAACACAUGCAAGUCGAACGAAAAGAGGGAAAGAGCUUGCUCUUUCCGGAAUUGAGUGGCAAACGGGUGAGUAACACGUAAACAACCUGCCUUCAGGAUGGGGACAACAGACGGAAACGACUGCUAAUACCGAAUAAGUUCCAAGGGCCGCAUGGCCCAUGGAAGAAAAGGUGGCCUCUACCUGUAAGCUAUCGCCUGAAGAGGGGUUUGCGUCUGAUUAGCUGGUUGGAGGGGUAACGGCCCACCAAGGCGACGAUCAGUAGCCGGUCUGAGAGGAUGAACGGCCACACUGGAAUUGAGACACGGUCCAGACUCCUACGGGAGGCAGCAGUGGGGAAUCUUCCGCAAUGGGCGAAAGCCUGACGGAGCAACGCCGCGUGAGUGAUGACGGCCUUCGGGUUGUAAAACUCUGUGAUCCGGGGCGAAAAGGCAGAGUGCGAAGAACAAACUGCAUUGACGGUACCGGAAAAGCAAGCCACGGCUAACUACGUG